UGGGGAAUAUUGCACAAUGGGCGAAAGCCUGAUGCAGCGACGCCGCGUGAGUGAAGAAGUAUUUCGGUAUGUAAAGCUCUAUCAGCAGGGAAGAUAAUGACGGUACCAUGGGAGGAAGCCCCGGCUAACUACGUGCCAGCAGCCGCGGUAAUACGUAGGGGGCGAGCGUUGUCCGGAAUUACUGGGCGUAAAGGGUUCGCAGGCGGCAUGGCAAGUCCGAUGUAAAAGGCGAAGGCUCAACCUUCGUAAGCAUCGGAAACUGUCAAGCUUGAGUGAAGGAGAGGCAAGUGGAAUUCCUAGUGUAGCGGUGGAAUGCGUAGAUAUUAGGAGGAAUACCGGUGGCGAAGGCGACUUGCUGGACUUCAACUGACGCUGAGGAACGAAAGCGUGGGUAGCAAACAGG
RNAcentral lists this ribosomal RNA (403 nucleotides) under Fusobacteriota bacterium. Its description in RNAcentral is "Fusobacteria bacterium partial 16S ribosomal RNA". It matches the Rfam family "Bacterial small subunit ribosomal RNA", at positions 355 to 776 of the family's 1533-position model. Lineage: Bacteria; Fusobacteriati; Fusobacteriota. The record is from RNAcentral.